RNAcentral lists this ribosomal RNA (255 nucleotides) under Staphylococcus aureus. Its description in RNAcentral is "partial 23S ribosomal RNA". It matches the Rfam family "Bacterial large subunit ribosomal RNA", at positions 1 to 253 of the family's 2925-position model. Lineage: Bacteria; Bacillati; Bacillota; Bacilli; Caryophanales; Staphylococcaceae. The record is from RNAcentral. RNAcentral also lists the same sequence under 1 other name.
GAUUAAGUUAUUAAGGGCGCACGGUGGAUGCCUUGGCACUAGAAGCCGAUGAAGGACGUUACUAACGACGAUAUGCUUUGGGGAGCUGUAAGUAAGCUUUGAUCCAGAGAUUUCCGAAUGGGGAAACCCAGCAUGAGUUAUGUCAUGUUAUCGAUAUGUGAAUACAUAGCAUAUCAGAAGGCACACCCGGAGAACUGAAACAUCUUAGUACCCGGAGGAAGAGAAAGAAAAUUCGAUUCCCUUAGUAGCGGCGAG